GAUGAAGAACGCAGCGAAAUGCGAUACGUAAUGUGAAUUGCAGAAUUCAGUGAAUCAUCGAGUCUUUGAACGCACAUUGCGCCCCCUGGUAUUCCGGGGGGCAUGCCUGUCCGAGCGUCAUUGCUGCCCUCAAGCACGGCUUGUGUGUUGGGCCUCCGUCCUCCUCCCGGGGGACGGGCCCGAAAGGCAGCGGCCGCACCGCGUCCGGUCCUCGAGCGUAUGGGGCUUCGUCACCCGCUCUUGUAGGCCCGGCCGGCGCUUGCCGACACAUCAAUCUUUUUUCCAGGUUGACCUCGGAUCAGGUAGGGAUACCCGCUGAACUUAAGCAUAUCAAUAAGCGGAGGA
RNAcentral lists this unclassified non-coding RNA (345 nucleotides) under soil metagenome. Its description in RNAcentral is "partial contains 5.8S ribosomal RNA, internal transcribed spacer 2, and large subunit ribosomal RNA". The stretch from base 1 to 120 matches the Rfam family "5.8S ribosomal RNA", at positions 35 to 154 of the family's 154-position model. The record is from RNAcentral.